This 204-nucleotide unclassified non-coding RNA is filed under the name Hevea brasiliensis (rubber tree). Lineage: Eukaryota; Viridiplantae; Streptophyta; Magnoliopsida; Malpighiales; Euphorbiaceae. The record is from RNAcentral.
GAAAUCAACUUAUCGACCAGAUGGCUCCCAACGAAUCCAGCCCCACCAGUAACAACAAUCCGCAAUCUACGGCGAGCAAUACCCGCCGGGACACGACCGGAGAAGGAAGUUUUGCGGAAGAAGUUGGAGGAGGAAGAAUCGAGGGAGUUACUGGUGAAGGAUAAGGAAGAAGAUGAAUGGGAGUCGGAGGGGCCAAGGCGGGGG